RNAcentral lists this transfer RNA (67 nucleotides) under Polypedilum henicurum. Its description in RNAcentral is "tRNA-Glu". The record is from RNAcentral. Lineage: Eukaryota; Metazoa; Arthropoda; Insecta; Diptera; Chironomidae.
UUUUAUAUAGUUUAACAUAAAACGUUAUAUUUUCAUUAUAAUAAUAAAGAAUAAUCUUUUAUAAAAU